UUACUUGAGAGUUUGAUCCUGGCUCAGGAUGAACGCUGGCGGCGUGCCUAACACAUGCAAGUCGAACGAAGCACCUUGGGAGAUUCUUCGGAUGAUCUUAUGGUGACUGAGUGGCGGACGGGUGAGUAACGCGUGGGUAACCUGCCCUGUACAGGGGGACAACAGCUAGAAAUGGCUGCUAAUACCGCAUAAGCGCACAGGAAGACAUCUUCCGGUGUGAAAAACUCCGGUGGUACAGGAUGGGCCCGCGUCUGAUUAGCUUGUUGGCGGGGUAACGGCCCACCAAGGCGACGAUCAGUAGCCGGUCUGAGAGGAUGAACGGCCACAUUGGGACUGAGAUACGGCCCAGACUCCUACGGGAGGCAGCAGUGGCUGAACCGAUUGUUCCCGCUUGGGAGCAAAAGAAAAAGUCAAAGGUAAAGAGCUUUGACCUCCACCCGGAUAUUCCUAUGUCCGAACG
Molecule: ribosomal RNA, 460 nt
Filed under: Candidatus Anaerobutyricum avicola
Lineage: Bacteria; Bacillati; Bacillota; Clostridia; Lachnospirales; Lachnospiraceae
Description: bacterial SSU rRNA
Rfam family: Bacterial small subunit ribosomal RNA
Source: RNAcentral